Molecule: long non-coding RNA, 2478 nt
Organism: Paramormyrops kingsleyae
Lineage: Eukaryota; Metazoa; Chordata; Actinopteri; Osteoglossiformes; Mormyridae
Source: RefSeq, a predicted model, not a curated record
GGGGAGGGACUCCGCGCGCAAGUCCGCGAGCGCAUAAAGGUUUUGUAUGCUUGUGCACUACUUAUUGAACAAUUGGACACAUCUGCAAAUUUAGGAACAUAUUGCCAGAAGUGAUGCAGUUAUUCGUUAGUCCUCGGUGGGAAAUGCGGAAUAAGAAAGAAAAGAACACUUUGGACGCCAGUGAGAUUCGGUCUAUCGUAGACGUAUGGCACUACACCCCACCUCUGGAUAUCGCAAAGGCUCGUCAGCACCUAGGCUACACCAGAUUUAGUGAAAAUUUCAGUGAGGCAGUCCUUGUGAACGGUUCAUGUCCUGAUACCUGGCGAUUCGCGGACCACUUAAUAAUUUGGACGGAUGUUUGUAUUAACAUCUGGACACGCGCAUCUCCCAUGCAAGCGCCUCUCGUCCCGAGCUGACUUACUGACCGAAGACUUUUGCAGCGAGCAGAAGAAAGCUACAAGCGAGUCUCUGGAGACAUUUGCAGCCUGCCCCGCCUGGAAAAGUCUCCACCAUUGUGUGAAGCUCCCGCCCCCCACUGCCGGUUAGAGGCGUACAUCUCGGCCGCUGACUUGGGCUCUCCAUCACAGCUUGGCACUGCUGACUGAUUCUCCUGUUUUACCCCAACGGAAAACUGGCUCUGCUCGGAGGUGGAGUUUAGCUUGUUUUUAUUCUUUGUUUCCUGAUAAUUUCAGCCAUGGUAAAAUUACAGUUAGCAUGGAUCAGUGUGGGAUGUGCAGAGGACAAAAGAACCUACAUUUAUUAUACGCAGUUAAUAUUAUAUAUUCUAUUUCAAUUUACUGAAAAAUAUUGUAUGGUGAUUAUUACUAUACACUGUAUUAAUACUAUAUUCCUUAAUUCCUUACUCUCUUGAAAUGUGUUAUAUAUAAGUACAGCGGGGCUGAAAAUGAGCAAGCAGAAUUAACAGAUACCAUUCUCCCCACAGUCACAUUUUAAAGGCUGAUCUGGCAAUUUAUCAAUGAUUUUUUUUUUCCCACUCCGCCACUGGCUUAAUUGGAAUAUUUUAAUUUCUGCAGAAAGUCGCCUGUCGUCCCUUUACUGCUUUGUAAGCCGUCUGUAUGUCACACAAAGAUGCCACAGCACGGAUGCUGAAGGACGCAAUAAAUAAAUUACAGAAAUGUAUUUACAGCCACGGGCACAUUUCUAUCUAGGAGAGCAGCUCACCAAAGACAAAUACUGUACCGGGAUGAAAAACUGCGCUCACUGCUUUGUGUCUCAGUCUACAAUGAGUCCUUAUGACACACAAUGCAUUCUGUUUUGAUGCACCCCCCGUGGGCCAGAAUUACACGAGGAAUUUUCCGAAGGGAGGGAGAAUCGCUGGCAAAAUAAACUGGAGUGUCUUGAGUCCCGUUGCGGUGGAUGUGGAGAGAGGAGCUACAACUGAAUGCUCGCGCUACACGUCGAGGGACACGCACGUGCUCGACUGUGAUGGAGAACAAGAGAGAUACAUAAUAAUAAAGAAAUGCUCUUAAGAACCAUGCUUUCGCUUUUUUGCCGGAUAUUUUCUAACUGUCACGGUGUUCUUAUACUAUAGUAUUUUCAUCUGUGCGUUUCAUGCUUGUGACACUAAUGGUUUUUGUGUAUGUAUGUAUCUCUGUCCCCUUUGGCAUGUAGAUUUGUAGGCCCCGGUGUGCGGAAGAGGCCCUUGCUUCCCUUUGGAGGAGGUCGUCUCCAGGGGAUCAGGAUCGGACUCCGGGGGCUAUAGCUUCUGGACCAGCUGAGACUCCCCUAAGGAAACAAGGACUGUGAGCAAAGGCGGCUGCUGCAGGAAGCUGCCGGUGACUCUGGGUCAGGUGACCCGAUGCUCACAGAAGUGGGAGGGGCAUCACCUCAAGCUGGGUUUCAAAAUCCUGAUACAAAAUAUGAGAGCCCUCAGCUCGUAAUGCUUUGUUUAUAAAACAAUGCCUACAGACACUUAGCAUUUCGCUUAUAAUAUUGCACAAAAGGAGACCAUAAUGUUGCCGGUGCGUGGGGGUUCUAUUUUUUAACCCAGAUUUGUCACCAUCAUGGUCUCUAGCAGUGAAAGUAUGCUAUUAAUUCCAUGUUUGUAUAGGAACAUUAUCCAAUAGCUCUAUUAUUUUAAAUAGCACCUGUCAAUUCUUCCUGUCUGAGUGGAAUUUAUGAAAGAAUACCAAAUAAAAACAGCUUCACAGUCAAGCAUCCAGCUUCAGUGACCUUUACCACCAGAAGACACUUUCUGUUUUCUGUGUCAGGACGUGUUCAGCGUCACGCUGUCUUGUAUCUCAGUGUUUCCCAAUCCGGUCCUCCCUCCCAGCUCGAGCUAAAAUGCAGACCGUCUGGCAAGGAGUUCAAAGGGAGCAAGAACACGGAGUGACUGCUGGUCCCUGACGACCGGAUUAGGAGACACUGCUGUAUCUGAAUCGAACCCUCAGCCAGCGCUCACUGCAUCCCGGGGCAGCUGGGGGGUUGGGGCUCAGGAUUAGCCCUCCGUCCGAGAUG